RNAcentral lists this ribosomal RNA (253 nucleotides) under uncultured bacterium. RNAcentral's name for it is "partial 16S ribosomal RNA". It matches the Rfam family "Bacterial small subunit ribosomal RNA", at positions 524 to 776 of the family's 1533-position model. The record is from RNAcentral.
UACGGGGGGGGUAAGCGUUGUUCGGAAUUACUGGGCGUAAAGGGCUCGUGGGCGGCCAACUAAGUCAGACGUGAAAUCCCUCAGCUUAACUGGGGAACUGCGUCCGAUACUGGAAGGCUUGAAUCCGGGAGAGGGAUGCGGAAUUCCAGGUGUAGUGGUGAAAUGCGUAGAUAUCUGGAGGAACACCGGUGGCGAAGGCGGCGUUCUGGACUGCAACUGACACUGAGAAACGAAAGCCAGGGUAGCAAACGGG